Long non-coding RNA from Equus caballus (horse), 2563 nucleotides. Lineage: Eukaryota; Metazoa; Chordata; Mammalia; Perissodactyla; Equidae. The record is from Ensembl.
UAGUCCUACUCACGACUAAGAUUUAUUACAGAGAAAGGAUAUUAAUCAAAAUCAGCAAAUGAAAAGGCAACUGGGAUGAAGUCAGAGGAAGUCAGGUGCAAAGUUCCCGAGUCCUCUGCCAGAGAAAUGGGACAGGACACACUCCAUUGCCCCAGCAACAAGGGGUGAAAGCGUGUGUGAAGUGUUGUCCACCAGGGAGGCUCACCGGAGACUCAGUAUCCAGGGUUUUCGUGGGGGCUGGUCGCCCUCUGCCUGGCAUGUACCCAAUUCCAGACUCCCAGAAGGAAAGCAGGAGUUCAGCAUACAGCCUGUUUGUUUGUGUGAACAGUUUAGGCCCGGUCGCCACUCCUCUCAGGGGAUGGGAGCAAUCCUCUGGAAAUGUACGUGCCCAGACACCAGCCGACUUGCAAGCAUGCCUCUGACGGAGAGCAGUCUCAGGCCGGCUGGGUUAACUCUUCACAAAGGGCCCUCUUUAAGAAAGAGAAGACAAAGAAUGUAUCCAAAAUUAACUGAAUAGAGAAAAGAAAUCCAACAUGUAACACAAAUUUUUAAAAUUGACCGAUAUCACAAACAGAAAACAGAAAACCACCAUAGUGUCGUGAAUUAACUUCUGAUAUGUUUGCCUAACUUGCUUCCCUUAAGCUUUUUGGGUGCAUACUCUGAUGGCCUCUUGAGACGACAACACUUUUAUGAUGUCACCAUCUACAUAGAGAAAGAACACAAUUCGGUGUGUCCUCUGAUGCGUUUGAUCAAAGUUUAUUUUUAUUUAUAGCUUGGAAAAGUUACUUUCAGUAACAGCUCCUUUGGAUAAUAUUGUAUAAAUGUUUAGAAUUGUUAAUUUGAGGAAACUUCUAUCAAAUUUCUUUUACAUGUGAGCCGUAAGAUUUCGGGGCCUUUUGGGUGUUCUUGUUUGCGACUUAGAUAUUUUUUGAGUGGACACCACUCAUUAGCCAAUUCCAUCAGCCUGACGUGUCAUGACAUGCAGCACAGAGGGAGGGGGCUGUGUUCCUGGAAGCCCCUUCUAUACCAGAAUGACAGCAGUAGCUUAACUCUACCAGGAAGUGACUGUCCCUGCGAAACUCAAACCAAAUGUGCCCCCAACUCAACCUCCCGGAGUGAACCCCACAGCGCCCCCUCCAGCUCCAGGCAGCAGGGGAGGAAGUGACCGAAAGCUGGUUGCAAUGGGAAGAGAAAGCCUUAACUGAUUGUGAUUAAAUUAUUUCACAUUUGCAAAUUUUACAAAAUAUGCAACCAUAUGAACACUUUGUCAGGGUCCUGCCCUGGAAGGGGUUGUGUCAAUGAGAGGCCUGAGCUGGGCCUUGUGACUUCACAGUGAACCUGUCCCCGGAGCCCCAACACACUAGAGUGGUAGCGGCACAUCUCAGCAGCGUCCCACCCCGAGAGGGGCCUCCAGGGGACUGGCACGUGGGAGGGCCUUCACCAGAUGGUGUCACCGUUCUAUUAGGCUGACAGGGAACUUGGGAAGACCAGAGAGCCCCAGGGGCGUGAGCUCACUGCCACAGUUCAUCAGCUCUAAGAUGGGUCCUCGGUGUGCCGCAUGUCCAACAGGAAGGAAGAUUAAGUGCAGUUGCCACCCCGUCUCCUGGAACACUGCUUUCAGAGGGGAGGUGUCCCCCGCCACAGUCAGCACUGGUGAGAACUCCUGCAGAGGUUCCCCAUGCCACACGGAAGCAGCGGGGAGGGACAUGCCAUCUAGGAGAACCUGCCAGUUGACAAGUGGGAACUGCACGGAGCAGACCAUCAAAGAGGAAAGAAAUGCUGAUCAGAGUGGAAGAAAAGGACACAAACGAUGGCCCCUGCCCAGAGCUGCUCAUUACAGGAAGAGAGUCCUUCCCAUGUUCUGAAAUGAAAACCUGAUUGUCACUCUUGGGGGGGCUCCCCUGCCCCCAGGAAUCUGUUGCCUGCAGACCUCUCUUGGGGCCUCCUUGCUGUCCACUUCACCCCCUUCCCUGAGGUCGCAGCCCUGAAUGUGUUGCCUUGUCCAAGGUGCCUUUCCUCCAUGGGACAGUGCCACUCCCCGCCACUCCCACAACAGGCCCAGUGCUGUCUGGUCCCUCUCUUUGCCUCCAGCCCCAACCUAGUGCACUCAUAGGCUCAACUCAUGCCCCGGGGCUCUGACCGACCCCCCCGCAGGCUCUACUGUCUGGUUCCUGCUGCCGCUGGACCCUGUGCCCCCUCCCUCAGGGCAACUCGAUCAUCCACCCUCUGACCCCUUUAGAGGCUGUGCUGGCCAAUUGCCUCAGAGACGGUACCAUCAUCAGCUCCACAACCUGGCUUGGGCAGGUGGGGACAGUGCAGCUGGUGGCCAGAGGUCAGAGAUCAGGUGCGCCCUGUUCCCAUGGGUCAGAACUGCUGGUCCCGGCUCUGAAGCCCCGGAAUGCAGCCGAGGCGUGGGGGCAGGGCGGCUGCUGACCUCACAAUGAUGGGGUCCGCUGUCCCUGGCCAGCCCGCCUGCCGACUGUCGGCGGCUGCAGCCCGCCGCUGCUGGGCAUGUCCCUCCUCAGCAGCUACGAGGGCCUGCGGCAGGAGACCCAGCGGCUGG